CUCCACUGUUGAUAUUCUGUGUGCCAAAGAAAAAAGAGACAAGAUCUUUGUGUGUUUUCUUGUAGAUUUAUAUGUAAGAAUUACUUACUGAAAACUAGAGGAUCAUACAUAAAGCAGUAUCCAGAUGGCUCACCCACAGUACAGAAGAGCCAGAAUUUUAUUUAUGGAGAUGCCAAUCUCUGACAUCCAUAUCUUAGUAACUAUACGGAGUACUUUCAGGCCGAAUUGAUCAUCAUAAGGUGUUUGCGCUUGAUGUAGUCUCCAGAUUCCAUGUCGACAUUCUCCUCAUAGGUGGUCUCAGACACACAAUAGGUGGCUGGUCGGAAACUAUCCUCUACUUCACAGGCCUCUUUGUGCUUGUAUACUUGGUGAGUGUUUGUGAGGAGAGGUCUUUCAGACGUAGCCUUCUCCAACGAAGAGACAUAGGCGUAGUAGUCUCCCCCUGAGGAGAUCCUUGCCUCAUGGAACUCCACAUGGCUUUGCUGUGGGUGGUGGUGGUGGUGGUGGUGGUGGUGACUCCCGAAUGACAUUUUUGCUACAGACCUUAAUAUGCUAGGAGGCUUGAU
Molecule: long non-coding RNA, 566 nt
Filed under: Musa acuminata (dwarf banana)
Lineage: Eukaryota; Viridiplantae; Streptophyta; Magnoliopsida; Zingiberales; Musaceae
Description: long non-coding RNA (MACU_LNC006724)
Source: RNAcentral